UAGUGUUCUAAUAACUAAGACAAGAGGUUAUGUGAUAAUGUUCUAAUACCUAGGACAAGUCCAUUAUGUCAUAGUGUUCUAAUAACUAAGACAAGAGGUUAUGUGAUAAUGUUCUAAUACCUAGGACAAGUCCAUUAUGUCAUAGUGUUCUAAUAACUAAGACAAGAGGUUAUGUGAUAAUGUUCUAAUACCUAGGACAAGUCCAUUAUGUUAUAGUGUUCUAAUACCUAGGACAAGUCCAUUAUGUCAUAGUGUUCUAAUAACUAAGACAAGAGGUUAUGUGAUAAUGUUCUAAUACCUAGGACAAGUCCAUUAUGUCAUAGUGUUCUAAUAACUAAGACAAGAGGUUACGUGAUAAUGUUCUAAUACCUAGGACAAGUCCAUUAUGUCAUAGUGUUCUAAUACCUAGGACAAGUCCAUUAUGUUAUAGUGUUCUAAUAACUAAGACAAGAGGUUACGUGAUAAUGUUCUAAU
Oncorhynchus keta (chum salmon) is the source of this 474-nucleotide long non-coding RNA. RefSeq lists it as uncharacterized. Lineage: Eukaryota; Metazoa; Chordata; Actinopteri; Salmoniformes; Salmonidae. The record is from RefSeq and is a predicted model, not a curated record. The transcript has 3 exons.